Molecule: ribosomal RNA, 425 nt
Filed under: uncultured bacterium
Lineage: Bacteria
Description: partial 16S ribosomal RNA
Rfam family: Bacterial small subunit ribosomal RNA
Source: RNAcentral
GUUAGGAAUAUUGGACAAUGGGCGAAAGCCUGAUCCAGCCAUGCCGCGUGAACGAUGAAGGCCUUCGGGUUGUAAAGUUCUUUAGCCGAUGAUUAUAAUGACUGUAGUCGGAAAAUAAGCCCCGGCUAACUUCGUGCCAGCAGCCGCGGUAAUACGAAGGGGGCGAGCGUUAUUCGGAAUCACUGGGCGUAAAGCGUGCGUAGGCGGUUUUGUAAGUUAGGAGUGAAAGCCCAGGGCUCAACCUUGGAAUUGCUCUUAAAACUGCAAGGCUCGAAUCUCGGAGAGGAGAGCGGAAUUUCCAGUGUAGCAGUGAAAUGCGUAGAUAUUGGAAGGAACACCAGUGGCGUAAGCGGCUAUCUGGACGAGUAUUGACGCUGAGGCACGAAAGCGUGGGGAUCAAACAGGAUUAGAUACCCCUGUAGUCC